This 69-nucleotide transfer RNA is filed under the name Tetraponera rufonigra. Its description in RNAcentral is "tRNA-Gln". The record is from RNAcentral. Lineage: Eukaryota; Metazoa; Arthropoda; Insecta; Hymenoptera; Formicidae.
UAUACUUAGAUGUAAGAAGCAUGGUAAAUUUUGAUUUUACGAGGGUUAGUUUAAUUCUGACAAGUAUAG